This 407-nucleotide ribosomal RNA is filed under the name uncultured bacterium. RNAcentral's name for it is "partial 16S ribosomal RNA". It matches the Rfam family "Bacterial small subunit ribosomal RNA", at positions 30 to 526 of the family's 1533-position model. The record is from RNAcentral.
AUUGAACGCUGGCGGCAGGCCUAACACAUGCAAGUCGAGCGGAGCGGCGGACGGGUGAGUAAUGCCUAGGAAUCAGCCUGGUAGUGGGGGAUAACGUCCGGAAACGGGCGCUAAUACCGCAUAAUAUAAGAGGGCACUAGGCGGGAGUAGCUGGUUGGUGGGGUAAAGGCCUACAAAGGCGACGAUCCGUAACGGGUCUGAGAGGAUGAUCAGUCACACUGGAACUGAUACACGGUCCAGAAUCCUACGGGAGGCAGCAGUGGGGAAUAUUGGACAAUGGGCGAAAGCCUGAUCCAGCCAUGCCGCGUGUGUGAAGAAGGUCUUCGGAUUGUAAAGCACUUUAAGUUGGGAGGCGUUACCAACAGAAUAAGCACCGGCUAACUUCGUGCCAGCAGCCGCGGUAAUUC